CCUACGGGUGGCAGCAGUGAGGAAUAUUGGUCAAUGGACGAGAGUCUGAACCAGCCAAGUAGCGUGAAGGAUGACUGCCCUAUGGGUUGUAAACUUCUUUUAUAAAGGAAUAAAACGAGGCACGUGUGCAUUUUUGCAUGUACUUUAUGAAUAAGGAUCGGCUAACUCCGUGCCAGCAGCCGCGGUAAUACGGAGGAUCCGAGCGUUAUCCGGAUUUAUUGGGGUUAAAGGGAGCGUAGAUGGGUUGUUAAGUCAGUUGUGAAAGUUUGCGGCUCAACCGUAAAAUUGCAUUUGAUACUGGCAGUCUUGAGUACAGUUGAGGUAGGCGUACUUCGUGGUGUAGCGGUGAACUUCUUAGAUCUCACGAAGAACCCCGAUUGCGAAGGCAGCUUACUAAACUGUGACUGACAUUGAUGCUCGAAAGUGUGGGUAUCAAACAGGAUUAGAUACCCGGGUAGUC
RNAcentral lists this ribosomal RNA (460 nucleotides) under uncultured bacterium. Its description in RNAcentral is "partial 16S ribosomal RNA". It matches the Rfam family "Bacterial small subunit ribosomal RNA", at positions 338 to 795 of the family's 1533-position model. The record is from RNAcentral.